Harmonia axyridis is the source of this 281-nucleotide long non-coding RNA. RefSeq lists it as uncharacterized. The transcript has 2 exons. The record is from RefSeq and is a predicted model, not a curated record. NCBI's taxonomy places the organism in Eukaryota, Metazoa, Arthropoda, Insecta, Coleoptera, Coccinellidae.
AUCAAUUAAUCAACCUCACUUCACUUUAAAACGUGAAGAUUGAGGGAAGCAUUUGUUAUUUCCCAUCAAUUCUCACUGAAAAGAAGUCUUACAAUGAGAAUCAGAUUAUUAACCUAUUUUAUAAUACUUGUUAUUGCAAUCAACGUUCUUGGGGCAUAUGGAAGAACAACACCUAGGAGACGUAAACCUGGAAGAUGGGUGUAUCCUUUAGGAUCCCUUUGAAAUCAUUCAGUUAUACUGCCAUUAUGUUAUUACAUUGAGAAAUAAAAGUUAUACAAGCA